CAGCCGCCACGGUAAUACGGGGGGGGCAAGUGUUAUUCGGAAUGACUGGGCGUAAAGGGCACGUAGGCGGUGAAAAGGGUGGAAAGUGAAAGUCGCCAAAACACUAGCGGGGUGCUUUCUUGACCAUUUCACUUGAGUGAGAUAGGGGAGAGUGGAAUUUCGUGUGGAGGGAUCAAAUCCUAAGAUAUACGAAGGAACGCCAACCGCGAAGGCAGCUCUCUGGGUCCCCACUGACGCUGGGGUGCGAAAGCAUGGGGAGCAAACAGGAUCAGAUACCCCAGUAGUCCCUGUCUCUUAUACC
Molecule: ribosomal RNA, 301 nt
Filed under: uncultured bacterium
Lineage: Bacteria
Description: partial 16S ribosomal RNA
Rfam family: Bacterial small subunit ribosomal RNA
Source: RNAcentral